UAUCCUUCCAGACCUCUGCUGAACUACAAACUACAAAGCAGCAAGGCUAUGAAUACCGUUUCACUGUUCCUGAGUCAGAUCCUUACUUUCAACUCUUACUUCAUGUUUUGCCAGUAAUAUGUUGUUCUACAGGUCUACUUUUUGCUUAUAAUGAUACCAAAUGGAAUUCCAAUGGUGAUCCAUAAAAAUAACAAGUCUAGCAGCUCAAUUCACAAUAGAUAAAAUAUGGAAGGGUACCUAGGUACCCUUCAACAGAUGAAUGGAUAAAGAAAAUGUGGUACACAUACACAAUGGAUACUCAUCCUUUAAGAAGAAUGAAAUUAUGACAUUUGCAGGUAAAUGGAUAGAGCUGGAGAAUAUUAUGCCAAACAAAAUAAGCCAGUCCCAAAAAAACCAAAGGCUGAAUUUUUUUAUAUAUGCAGAUGCUAAUUCAGGGCAGGCAGGUCCUAGGGAAGAACAGAGGUACUUUGGAUUAGGCAGAGGGGCAUAAAUGGAGGGGAGAGAGUAUGGGGAUAGGAAGGACAGUAGAAUGAAUUAGAAACAUUGUUAACCUAUGUGCAUACAUGACUACAUGACUGGUGUGAUUCUACAUCAUGUACAACCAGAAGAAUGAGUACUCUAUACAUCAUGUACAACCAGAAGAAUGAGAAGUUAUACUUUAUGUAUGAUGUGUCAAAGUGCAUUCUGUAAUGUAUAACUAAUUAAAACAAAUAAAAAAU
RNAcentral lists this long non-coding RNA (719 nucleotides) under Marmota monax (woodchuck). The record is from RNAcentral. Lineage: Eukaryota; Metazoa; Chordata; Mammalia; Rodentia; Sciuridae.